GGAAACGACUGCUAAUACCCAAUGUGCCGAGAGGUGAAAAAUUUAUUGCCUGAAGAGGAGCUCGCGUCUGAUUAGCUAGUUGGUGAGGUAAAAGCUUACCAAGGCAACGAUCAGUAGCUGGUCUGAGAGGAUGAGCAGCCACACUGGGACUGAGACACGGCCCAGACUCCUACGGGAGGCAGCAGUGGGGAAUUUUCCGCAAUGGGCGAAAGCCUGACGGAGCAACGCCGCGUGAGGGAGGAAGGCUUUUGGGUUGUAAACCUCUUUUGUUAGGGAAGAAGAAAGGACGGUACCUAACGAAUAAGCAUCGGCUAACUCCGUGCCAGCAGCCGCGGUAAUACGGAGGAUGCAAGCGUUAUCCGGAAUUAUUGGGCGUAAAGGGUCCGCAGGUGGUUUAGCAAGUCUGCUGUUAAAGAAUCAGGCUUAACCUGAUCAAAGCAGUGGAAACUGUGAAACUAGAGUUCGGUAGGGGUAGCGGGAAUUCCCAGUGUAGCGGUGAAAUGCGUAGAGAUUGGGAAGAACAUCGGUGGCGAAAGCGCGCUACUGGGCCGAAACUGACACUAAGGGACGAAAGCUAGGGUAGCGAAAGGGAUUAGAUACCC
RNAcentral lists this ribosomal RNA (602 nucleotides) under uncultured Chroococcales cyanobacterium. RNAcentral describes it as "bacterial SSU rRNA". It matches the Rfam family "Bacterial small subunit ribosomal RNA", at positions 152 to 787 of the family's 1533-position model. The record is from RNAcentral. Lineage: Bacteria; Bacillati; Cyanobacteriota; Cyanophyceae; Chroococcales.